Molecule: long non-coding RNA, 467 nt
Organism: Strongylocentrotus purpuratus (purple sea urchin)
Lineage: Eukaryota; Metazoa; Echinodermata; Echinoidea; Camarodonta; Strongylocentrotidae
Exons: 4
Source: RefSeq, a predicted model, not a curated record
GAUUUUUCUAUGUGAAAAACAGAAAAUUGCACCAGAAUCAUAUCAUCCACUCCAAAAAAAAAAGGCUGAAAAAUUAAAACCCCCUAAACCAUUAUUCCACUUUGGAUAGCAAAUGCAACUUAUUUUUCUUUUCUAAACAACAGUUGAUACGUCUGCAGAUGAAUGCAUAAUCCAGUUCUCGGAUGUAGAAGGGCUUGAUGGACAUAAGGAGGGUUCUACAGAAAUUUCAAUUGAUACAUCUGAAGAUGAAUGCAUAAUCCAGUUCUCGGAUGUAGAAGGGCUUGAUGGACAUAAGGAGGGUUCUACAGAACUUUCAAGUGCAGAUAUGUCUGAAGAGGAAUGCAGAAUCCAGUUUUCAGAUGUUGAAGGGCUCGAUGGACAUAAGGAGGGUACUAAAAUACUAUCAAUGGCCUGCAUACAUUUCUCCGAUGUAGAAGGACUUCAUGGAAAUCAAACUGGAGCCAAAG